GCUCCAGCUUGCUGGAGUGGAUCAGUGGCGAACGGGUGAGUAACACGUGAGCAACCUGCCCCGGACUCUGGGAUAAGCGCUGGAAACGGCGUCUAAUACCGGAUACGCACCAGAAUCGCAUGGUUACUGGUGGGAAAGAUUUUUUGGUUCGGGAUGGGCUCGCGGCCUAUCAGCUUGUUGGUGAGGUAACGGCUCACCAAGGCGUCGACGGGUAGCCGGCCUGAGAGGGUGACCGGCCACACUGGGACUGAGACACGGCCCAGACUCCUACGGGAGGCAGCAGUGGGGAAUAUUGCACAAUGGGCGGAAGCCUGAUGCAGCAACGCCGCGUGAGGGACGACGGCCUUCGGGUUGUAAACCUCUUUUAGCAGGGAAGAAGCGAAAGUGACGGUACCUGCAGAAAAAGCGCCGGCUAACUACGUGCCAGCAGCCGCGGUAAUACGUAGGGCGCAAGCGUUAUCCGGAAUUAUUGGGCGUAAAGAGCUCGUAGGCGGUCUGUCGCGUCUGCUGUGAAAACCCGAGGCUCAACCUCGGGCCUGCAGUGGGUACGGGCAGACUAGAGUGCGGUAGGGGAGAUUGGAAUUCCUGGUGUAGCGGUGGAAUGCGCAGAUAUCAGGAGGAACACCGAUGGCGAAGGCAGAUCUCUGGGCCGUAACUGACGCUGAGGAGCGAAAGGGUGGGGAGCAAACAGGCUUAGAUACCCUGGUAGUCCACCCCGUAAACGUUGGGAACUAGUUGUGGGGGCCUUUCCACGGUCUCCGUGACGCAGCUAACGCAUUAAGUUCCCCGCCUGGGGAGUACG
Molecule: ribosomal RNA, 802 nt
Filed under: Microbacterium paludicola
Lineage: Bacteria; Bacillati; Actinomycetota; Actinomycetes; Micrococcales; Microbacteriaceae
Description: bacterial SSU rRNA
Rfam family: Bacterial small subunit ribosomal RNA
Source: RNAcentral